Molecule: ribosomal RNA, 376 nt
Filed under: uncultured bacterium
Lineage: Bacteria
Description: bacterial SSU rRNA
Rfam family: Bacterial small subunit ribosomal RNA
Source: RNAcentral
UACGUAGGGUGCGAGCGUUAAUCGGAAUUACUGGGCGUAAAGCGUGCGCAGGCGGUUUUGUAAGACAGGUGUGAAAUCCCCGGGCUCAACCUGGGAACUGCACUUGUGACUGCAAGGCUAGAGUGCGGCAGAGGGGGGUAGAAUUCCACGUGUAGCAGUGAAAUGCGUAGAGAUGUGGAGGAAUACCGAUGGCGAAGGCAGCCCCCUGGGUCGACACUGACGCUCAUGCACGAAAGCGUGGGGAGCAAACAGGAUUAGAUACCCUGGUAGUCCACGCCCUAAACGAUGUCAACUAGGUGUUGGGGGAGGAGACUUCCUUAGUACCGCAGCUAACGCGUGAAGUUGACCGCCUGGGGAGUACGGCCGCAAGGUUGAA